CAAAUACUUAGACAUUUUUACUGCUAUUUUACUUAGGGAAAGAUGUGUUUGUUGGUUGCUUAUUUAGAUCUUUGACAAAUUCUCCACAUCAAACAAGGUCAAGCCACAAAUAAUGCCCAAGAUCAACUAAAAAUCUAGUAAAGAUCAAUGACUUGAAAUGUGGAUUUGAAAGGAUGUGGGUCAAUGUAAAAGCUGCAAGAAUUUUUUUCUUCAUUAUUUUAAAACAAAUGCACAUCUUCUGCGGGUAAAACAGCCCAAAGCAGUGUCUUUUAAACCACCUAUACCAAAAGAUAAAACACCUUGGAAACAACAAGCCUUUGACAUCUGUGACACAGGAGACAUGCAGAAGUCAUUAAGGGUAUCCCGAGGGGGUUCCAACAGUUGCUUCACUUUAGGGUGGAUGUGAGAAGGCUUAAAAUUAAAUUACUUUAAAAUAAAGUUAGAGCAGUAAGCAAUUUCCUGCUUUCUACUCAGAAGGGUUUCCCGUGAGAAAAGAAAGUGGGCAAAAAGCUCAGACAGACAGACAAACAUAUUUACCCCUAGGUGGAAGGUACAAAUUAAAUUAGCCUGCUACAAAAGGGAGAUGUUUUCUCCUUCUGUUCAGAUGUCAUGGUAGUGAGGAAACAUAGUCUGGGGCCAAGAAAAAUGGCACAAAUGCAUUCAUCUGAGCUACCAUUCAUCCUGAUCCAAGGUCUAAACAGAACACAUAAAAGAACGGCACUGUUGAAGGACUUCCUCUCCCUAGUUACCAAGUUGAGACUUGCAAAGGCACAUGGGAGCAGGGGGUGGGGAUCUUUCCAGAAUGUUUCAAUGUUGAUGGAGUGUCAGAGGAUGUUAUGGAGUUAAUGACUGAAUCUGAAAUCACAUCAGUAUAAGUUGAUUCCAUAUUUCAUAGAAAGAGCUGUAUUUUAUGGUGCACAGUAUGGUGUGUUUAAAGGUACAUUGUGAACUUUCUUUCCCUCUGUAGCUGGAAACCAAUAUAGGCACUUCCAAAGAGUCAAGUAUCUAUUAUAGUGCCUCAUUAAUAUGCAUGUUUUUGGCACUCAGUUUGGUUCAGCUGGUAUGCUUUCCAGUAUCUCAUUCUUUAUUUAUAUGAGACUGGGAGGUGUGACCUAUGGAGCCAGUUGGCUGUCAUGAAUUGGAAUAUUCAUUAAGCCUCAUGAAUUAUGCAUUAGCCUGCUUAUAAUACUGAGAUCCACAUUUGAUCUAGCCAGAACUCUCUGCUUUCCAUUCAACGAAACGAUCCACAUUUUGGUCAAACUGUACAUGUGUUCCAUACACUGCAGAAGGACUGCCUGUAUAUUUGCCACCAAAAAGGCUUGGAGAUUUUGCACCUCACAUCUGACUAAGUGGGUUUCAUAUUUUUCGCUUGUUUGAAGGGCAUUGCAGACAUGGUUCUCCUCUGUAAAACGAGGUUAGAGUAGCAUUCUUCCCUAGCCUGAUUACUAUUUCCAUCCAUUACUGCCCUUGCCUAUAAAAGUCACCAAUGACUGGUAAGCAGCCUGGAUUACAAAAGAUAUGUAGCUAUCUCCUGGCAAUCCACACACAAAAGCAAAGCCAAAUAUAAAAAACAUGGAAAGUGCUUUUAAGAAUUUAGUUUCUCUUAUCUAAAACAAGGAAACCCUUUUACUGAUAACCUUAUCAUUUGUGAUACUUUUUUAUGGAUAGGUAUAUCCUGGCUACAUAAAAUCUAAUUUGUAGAUCUUGUUGAUGUUACAAGAUUUUAUCAAAAUUCAAUGACAGUAUUUAUUAGGCAUUAAAUAUUUUAAUUGUUAAAUAAUAUGGAUCAAUAUUAAAUUCAUGGCUUGCUUAAAUCCACACCUUUUACAAUAGAAAGGAAAAAACAGCUGAAAAAAAAUCAACUGGUAAAGAUUAGUAAAAUCUGUAAUACACAUCAGUAAACUGAAACUCUGAAAGCAUUUCACCUUUAUUCAUUCUUUGUACAAGCUACUCAAGUUAAAAUUGUCCCCCCCAAAAUAUCAAUUCUUAAGUAAAAAUAUUAUUUUAUAUAGCAUCGAUCUCAAAUAUUUGAUCACCACCCACUUUAAAAAGUUUCUAUUCUUUCUUUCUCAAUGUAGACCUGCUUUGGAGGGAACUCCUAUUCAGGUAAAUAAUUACUAUAAUGUAAAGCCUAAAACAUAAUUUGAAUUUAGCCCAUUCCAUCUGCUAUAUUCUGGAAGACUGGACUAAGGAAUCUAUAACCAGCUCUACAAAAGGUCAUGGGUGAGUCCUGGGUAAAAUGGCAUUGUUUACAGAUUUCUUAGUGAAGAGAUUAGCUGUCAUUUAUUUUCACAUACCUAACUGAGAAGCUUUAGUGGUUCCCAGCAAGAGUGUGUUCUCUUCUCUUUCUUAGCCUGUCACAUCCUUGUCAGUUUCAAUAAAAUUACUUACCUGAAUUAUGCAAAUGAGGUUUUGUUAUGUCCAGCUCCCAUCAUUGUUCAUCUCCACUACAGCUGAAAAUUCUAGCAGACCCCUUGCUUACACUGUCUGAUUCCAGGACUCCUUAGGUCAAGACCUUUCAACCUCAGAGCUUGACUUAUGCCACAACCAUUUGACAAAUCGCCCAGACCCUCACAAAAGCUGGUUGAGCUCCAGAGUGGCUGCUCUCUCUAUACACCACUGUUUCUCUGUUUUGACAUUUCCUUCUCACUUUUCCUCUCAGUAAUUAGACAAAGGGAAAAAAAGACAUUUGUGUUUAAAGAAUGCUUUCAUUUAGGACUGUGAUAAAUGGCUCCCCUUUCCAAGAAGCUGCAAUCCCACUACAGGACAGAAGGUUCCUUCACAAGGGGUUUGGACAGCAAAGGCCUUCCACCAAAGUUUUCCUGGACUUCAGCUUUGCCUCUAAAAAGCCUGCAGAGAGUUUCCACUGAUCUCUUCUGUGUUUUCAGUAAAACUGAAAAAUGGAAAAAUGUAGCAUGAACUUCCAUAUUAAAAGUAUCAUGGUUGUAAAUGCAA
This 2955-nucleotide long non-coding RNA is filed under the name Homo sapiens (human). Its description in RNAcentral is "HSALNT0091509". The record is from RNAcentral. Lineage: Eukaryota; Metazoa; Chordata; Mammalia; Primates; Hominidae.